AUGAACGCUGGCGGCGUGCCUCAUACAUGCAAGUCGCGCGCACAGACGAGGAGCUUGCUCCUCUGACGUUAGCGGCGGACGGGUGAGUAACACGUGGAUAACCUACCUAUAAGACUGGGAUAACUUCGGGAAACCGGAGCUAAUACCGGAUAAUAUAUUGAACCGCAUGGUUCAAUAGUGAAAGACGGUUUUGCUGUCACUUAUAGAUGGAUCCGCGCCGCAUUAGCUAGUUGGUAAGGUAACGGCUUACCAAGGCAACGAUGCGUAGCCGACCUGAGAGGGUGAUCGGCCACACUGGAACUGAGACACGGUCCAGACUCCUACGGGAGGCAGCAGUAGGGAAUCUUCCGCAAUGGGCGAAAGCCUGACGGAGCAACGCCGCGUGAGUGAUGAAGGUCUUCGGAUCGUAAAACUCUGUUAUUAGGGAAGAACAAAUGUGUAAGUAACUAUGCGCGUCUUGACGGUACCUAAUCAGAAAGCCACGGCUAACUACGUG
This 496-nucleotide ribosomal RNA is filed under the name uncultured bacterium. Its description in RNAcentral is "partial 16S ribosomal RNA". It matches the Rfam family "Bacterial small subunit ribosomal RNA", at positions 29 to 507 of the family's 1533-position model. The record is from RNAcentral.